Molecule: non-coding RNA, 105 nt
Organism: Acanthosepion pharaonis
Lineage: Eukaryota; Metazoa; Mollusca; Cephalopoda; Sepiida; Sepiidae
Source: the annotation of a GenBank genome assembly
UACAGCCACAUCAUGUUGAAAUGCUGCUUCCUGUACGAUCACUGAAGUUAAGUAACUUCGAGCCUGGUCAGUACCUAGAUGGGUGACCACUUGGGAAUACCAGCU